UCCGGUUUGGCACCGGCAGUCCUCCCAGAGUCCUCGGCAUGACCCGGUAGCAACUGGGAGCGGGGGUUGCGCCCGUUGCGGGACUUAACCCAACAUCUCACGACACGAGCUGACGACAGCCAUGCAGCACCUGUCUCCAGGUUCCUUGCGGCACCCCUGAAUCUCUUCAGGGUUCCUGGGAUGUCAAGGCCAGGUAAGGUUCUUCGCGUUGCAUCGAAUUAAACCACAUGCUCCACCGCUUGUGCGGGUCCCCGUCAAUUCCCUUGAGUUUCAACCUUGCGGCCGUACUCCCCAGGCGGAGUGCUUAAUGCGUUAGCUGCAGCACUAAAGGGCGGAAACCCUCUAACACUUAGCACUCAUCGUUUACGGCGUGGACUAC
RNAcentral lists this unclassified non-coding RNA (379 nucleotides) under uncultured bacterium. RNAcentral describes it as "contains 16S-23S intergenic spacer region". The record is from RNAcentral.